RNAcentral lists this long non-coding RNA (344 nucleotides) under Actinidia chinensis (golden kiwifruit). Its description in RNAcentral is "long non-coding RNA (ACHI_LNC007971)". The record is from RNAcentral. Lineage: Eukaryota; Viridiplantae; Streptophyta; Magnoliopsida; Ericales; Actinidiaceae.
UAACCUUGGAAGUUUUCUUUCCAACGCUUCAAAAAUUAGCUCAAUCGGACAUCAGAGUAAAUAGUUAUGGUCAAAAUACUGAGAGCUACACAGUAUUCGUGGGAUGUCGCGGGAUCAUCGCGGGAAGAUGUUGAGAGCUUGUAUUUUGCCACAUAUUUUGCGGGAUUCUCGCCGGAGCGAGCUGUGCGAUGCUGCAACAUCGAAAUUUAUGAUUUUAGGAUUUUGGAUUGAUAUAUAAGGCCCAACACACUUCCAAACAAGUAAGGAGAGUCGCCUAUAUAAAUAUUCUUAAGGGAAACCAUUCUCUACCUUUCAGAGAGAUCAAAACAGAUUUUAGCGCAAAU